GAACCCAGCUCUGCCAGCGCUGAACUGUUCUGUUGAAAAUACCCACCCGACGGUUUCUUACUAUGCUCGUCCUCAAGUGGCAUCGUACAAUACCUACUACCACAGCCCUCCCCACCUGCCGCCAUAUUCCGCUUACGACUUUCAGCAUUCCGGUGUCUUUCCAUCCUCCCCUCCCUCCGGACUUUCUGAUGAGCCCCAGUCUGCCUCGCCUUCGCCCAGCUACAUGUGGUCCUCGAGCGCACCGCCCCGCUACUCUCCCCCCUACUACCCGCCUUUUGAAAAACCACCACCUUACAGCCCCUAAAGAGGAAUGCCUGCUGGCUAUUGAGAUUAUUGUGACUUUUCUAUUUCUGCUUUAGUGGAAGUGUGUAGGGUACAAAAUUUAAAGUGUGAUUCUUACGCAUAAAGUUUUGCGAAGGCCUGCCAAGCUAGGGAAAGAUAGGGAUGAAGCUUAUUCAUUUAUCAGUGCAGAGUAGGGGUGGCUAGGCUGAACCCAGCGCUUCCAAAAAGGGCAGCGCGCACUCUCUGAGCAAGGCUGGGGAGCCAUCCCGGCAAGAAGCUUGUCUCGUGCGUUUCCCUUUGGCUCCACCUCUGUCCUCAGUGGUACUUGCCACCUAUUUCACUUUGUGUAAAUGCAGUGUCGUCCUCAAACCCUUGGCAGACCGCCACCCUAGCACCUUGGGUGAAGCACCUGGCUUAUCUAUAGGCCCUAUCUUUCCCUACCACUACAGUCAGUCCCUAAGGAAAAUUUCCCAGAUGGAGCUACCCAGUGGUUCCAAUACAGAGAGUUCUGGCUAAGAUUUUGUUUGCUUGUGUCUGGAUGUCGAAAAACGCUGCCCGUAUCUUGUACUCCUUUCUUCUCUGUGAGUAUUGUAAAAAUGGCUGUUGUGAUCAUUCAGCUCAGCUUUCGUUAUCAGUACCUCCCAAAGGGAAAAGUGCAAUAUUCCCUCGAGUAGUGGGGAACAGGAUCGAUUGUUUAGGACACACUGAAAUACAAAGAGCAAUGUGUGAGGUGUUUUGAGUUGAUCUCAGUUACACACCCGAUAACUUAGGAGACAGUGGUUCCACUGCAUGGUGCAGUAUUACAAAAGACAUUGGCUAUGGGAGAUCUUACGGUUAAAAUUCAGAGUUAAAAACGCUAGGUUAGGUUCUUGGGUUGUGAUGAUGAAUUGUUACUAAUCUUUGUGACUAUUUAAUCUUCAAAUAUUGUGCUUCCAUCCCAGCAAACCGCACGUAUCCCGCACCCCACCCCAAAAGAAUCAUCUGUAUUCUAAUGCCACUGCUCUUAUUGGUCCUUUUUUCUGUUGAGACCAAUCAUGACAGUGUUCAAGAUUAUGAAAGUGUUACAAUGCCGCUUUAAGUCUGCAAAACCUCAAAAGUAGCCAACUUGACAAAUUCUUAGGUGUUACCAUAAAUUUCAAAUCCAUCUAGCACAUUGUGGUAGGUGUUUGUACAGUUCUUUUAAUUAAGCAUAGCUUUAAACCAUCCACCUGACGAAUUUAACACUUUGGCACCCAUGCCUUCACUUCAGAACCAACACUUUCACUGAGAUCUUAUGUUAACCUGAGAACUGGAGUGAUUUAAAGGAAGACGGAUAAUCCUACACUUGUAUGACAUAAAAAUACAGGGGCUACAGGAGGGUACCUAAUUCGAUAGUUCUGCAAACACAGAACGCAUACGGGAAAAUUUUCCGGCCAAUUUCGCUACCUCCCGACUUGAUGGAUUAGAGGUAGCAGGCAAAUGCUGGUGCUCCCAUCUACCUUGUAGACACCCAGCCAUCCAGAAUUAUCAAGGCACAACAAGUGCACUCAUUGUUCACAGUAAGUGUUUGCAAAGCAUUCAGUUUAACUUCCGGCAUCGUGAAUGAUGUCUCAUCCAGAGUUCAAAUCGGGAACACUAGAAUCCUUUUGCGUUAUAUAAAAUUACUAUUAUUUUCUACAGUUCUGAGCGUAUUAAAAUCUAUUGGAUUUCAAAAAGGGACUAAUAACCAAUUGACUUACUAUACAAAUACCAACUUGUAAUACUCAAUGAAAUUUUUUGCCAUUUACACUGUACCUUUUGCUUUAGUGAACGUGUAUGAGUAUUUAAUUUUUUAAGAGGCACCAUUACACAGUAUAUCCUACAUUUAUCACAUUUCUUAAAGUGUUAAGACUGACUCAUUUCUAUGUACUUUUCUUACUUUACAAAAUAACUUGGAACAGAAUAGAUUUUGUAACACUUAAUUUGAGCAGCUUCUUUUUUUAUUACAUUGAAUUAUAUAAAGUGCAUGUUACCUUAGAAAAAUUAAUAUUUGCUGCUUUACUCUUUUGCAAAACAUUUGCUGUAAUGAAGGAAUUUGUAUUUCCAAUAUGUACCUUGACUGCAUUUUGUAAUAUUUACUGCUUUAUUCCUAAUUCUGCUUUCAAGUACUGAACUGGGCAUGAAACAUUAAAAUAUUAAUCCAGAACCUGUAUAAACUGGAUGUUGCUUAAAAUCUGUAUCACUGCCAUGUUGUAAACCCAGACUGCUUUUGUGAUGUUUCAAAUUAAUAAAACUACCCUCCUCCUUAUC
This is an RNA transcript of Odobenus rosmarus divergens (Pacific walrus), 2550 nucleotides long. RefSeq lists it as uncharacterized. The transcript has 2 exons. NCBI's taxonomy places the organism in Eukaryota, Metazoa, Chordata, Mammalia, Carnivora, Odobenidae. The record is from RefSeq and is a predicted model, not a curated record.